Molecule: ribosomal RNA, 491 nt
Filed under: uncultured bacterium
Lineage: Bacteria
Description: partial 16S ribosomal RNA
Rfam family: Bacterial small subunit ribosomal RNA
Source: RNAcentral
GUGAACGCUGGCGGUAGGCCUAACACAUGCAAGUCGAACGGCAGCACAGUAAGAGCUUGCUCUUACGGGUGGCGAGUGGCGGACGGGUGAGGAAUACAUCGGAAUCUACUUUUUCGUGGGGGAUAACGUAGGGAAACUUACGCUAAUACCGCGUACGACCUACGGGUGAAAGCAGGGGAUCUUCGGACCUUGCGCGAUUGAAUGAGCCGAUGUCGGAUUAGCUAGUUGGCGGGGUAAAGGCCCACCAAGGCGACGAUCCGUAGCUGGUCUGAGAGGAUGAUCAGCCACACUGGAACUGAGACACGGUCCAGACUCCUACGGGAGGCAGCAGUGGGGAAUAUUGGACAAUGGGCGCAAGCCUGAUCCAGCCAUACCGCGUGGGUGAAGAAGGCCUUCGGGUUGUAAAGCCCUUUUGUUGGGAAAGAAAAGCAGCAGGUUAAUACCCCGCUGUUCUGACGGUACCCAAAGAAUAAGCACCGGCUAACUUCGUG